This 201-nucleotide unclassified non-coding RNA is filed under the name Hevea brasiliensis (rubber tree). Lineage: Eukaryota; Viridiplantae; Streptophyta; Magnoliopsida; Malpighiales; Euphorbiaceae. The record is from RNAcentral.
UAGUGCAAGUGCAUCUGCAUUUCUGCCCGCAACAGAAUAUAAAUCCUUGACAGAGCCAACCUGUGCUUCAGCCACACCAACGAAUUCCUUUAAGGUCUUGCGAAAAAUUUCAGACACAGGGCCAUCAGUCUCCGAAGCCUCCAGUUCUUUUUUAACUUUUUCCAAACCCUUGAUGAUUGCUUGCAUUUCUUCAGCCAAAGA